UACGGAGGGUGCGAGCGUUGUCCGGAAUCACUGGGCGUAAAGGGCGCGUAGGCGGCGCGACAAGGCGGCGGUGAAAGUCCGGGGCUCAACCCCGGAUCGGCCGUGGCGACUGUCGCGCUCGAGCACAGUAGAGGCGGGUGGAAUUCCGGGUGUAGCGGUGGAAUGCGUAGAGAUCCGGAAGAACACCGGUGGCGAAGGCGGCCCGCUGGGCUGUGGCUGACGCUGAGGCGCGACAGCGUGGGGAGCAAACAGG
RNAcentral lists this ribosomal RNA (253 nucleotides) under uncultured bacterium. Its description in RNAcentral is "partial 16S ribosomal RNA". It matches the Rfam family "Bacterial small subunit ribosomal RNA", at positions 524 to 776 of the family's 1533-position model. The record is from RNAcentral. RNAcentral also lists the same sequence under 1 other name.